This 74-nucleotide transfer RNA is filed under the name Synechococcales bacterium UBA10510. RNAcentral's name for it is "tRNA-Arg". It matches the Rfam family "tRNA". From Rfam's summary of the family: Transfer RNA (tRNA) molecules are approximately 80 nucleotides in length. Their secondary structure includes four short double-helical elements and three loops (D, anti-codon, and T loops). The record is from RNAcentral. Lineage: Bacteria; Bacillati; Cyanobacteriota; Cyanophyceae; Synechococcales.
GGGCAUGUAGCUCAGCUGGAUAGAGCGUCAGAUUCCGGUUCUGAAUGUCGGGGGUUCGAAUCCCUCCAUGCUCG